This 98-nucleotide non-coding RNA is filed under the name uncultured Luminiphilus sp. Its description in RNAcentral is "Pyrrolysine insertion sequence mttB". It matches the Rfam family "Pyrrolysine insertion sequence mttB". Lineage: Bacteria; Pseudomonadati; Pseudomonadota; Gammaproteobacteria; Cellvibrionales; Halieaceae. The record is from RNAcentral.
GACCGAUGCCAACAUGCCUGAUUUUCAGGCAGGCGCAGAACGGGCUCACACGCUGAUGCCACCGGCCUUGGCAGGCGCCAACCUCAUCUACGAGGCGG